GAUACUGUAGCUUAAUGGUAGCCCUGGGAGCUGUUAACUCUCAAAGUGUAGGUUCGAGUCCUGCCAGUAUCGCAA
This 75-nucleotide transfer RNA is filed under the name Aquimarina algicola. Its description in RNAcentral is "Flavobacteriaceae bacterium M625 tRNA-Asn". It matches the Rfam family "tRNA". From Rfam's summary of the family: Transfer RNA (tRNA) molecules are approximately 80 nucleotides in length. Their secondary structure includes four short double-helical elements and three loops (D, anti-codon, and T loops). The record is from RNAcentral. Lineage: Bacteria; Pseudomonadati; Bacteroidota; Flavobacteriia; Flavobacteriales; Flavobacteriaceae.